GACGAACGCUGGCGGCGUGCUUAACACAUGCAAGUCGAACGGAAAGGCCCUGCUUUUGUGGGGUGCUCGAGUGGCGAACGGGUGAGUAACACGUGAGUAACCUGCCCUUGACUUUGGGAUAACUUCAGGAAACUGGGGCUAAUACCGGAUAGGAGCUCCUGCUGCAUGGUGGGGGUUGGAAAGUUUCGGCGGUUGGGGAUGGACUCGCGGCUUAUCAGCUUGUUGGUGGGGUAGUGGCUUACCAAGGCUUUGACGGGUAGCCGGCCUGAGAGGGUGACCGGCCACAUUGCGACUGAGAUACGGCCCAGACUCCUACGGGAGGCAGCAGUGGGGAAUAUUGCACAAUGGGCGGAAGCCUGAUGCAGCAACGCCGCGUGCGGGAUGACGGCCUUCGGGUUGUAAACCGCUUUCGCCUGUGGCGAAGCGUGAGUGACGGUAAUGGGUAAAGAAGCACCGGCUAACUACGUG
RNAcentral lists this ribosomal RNA (468 nucleotides) under uncultured bacterium. Its description in RNAcentral is "partial 16S ribosomal RNA". It matches the Rfam family "Bacterial small subunit ribosomal RNA", at positions 28 to 507 of the family's 1533-position model. The record is from RNAcentral.